GAGCUCCGCCGCCGGUAAGUCUUGGUUUUUUGAGUUCUUUCGAGGGCUUUAUCACAGGAACCAAUGCAAGUUUGGAGUUUUUUUGGGGACAUGUACAGGUACCGGAAGUGUGUUUCAGUUCCCGAGAAAAAAUUCAUGGAAUCUAGGGACUGCCCGUAGGCACAGUGAAAAACCGAUUUUAGACUUCGAAUCAAGUAAGAAUCUCUCACCCUAUUUCCUAU
Molecule: long non-coding RNA, 221 nt
Filed under: Carica papaya (papaya)
Lineage: Eukaryota; Viridiplantae; Streptophyta; Magnoliopsida; Brassicales; Caricaceae
Description: long non-coding RNA (CPAP_LNC014966)
Source: RNAcentral